This 460-nucleotide ribosomal RNA is filed under the name uncultured bacterium. RNAcentral describes it as "partial 16S ribosomal RNA". It matches the Rfam family "Bacterial small subunit ribosomal RNA", at positions 338 to 795 of the family's 1533-position model. The record is from RNAcentral.
CCUACGGGAGGCAGCAGUGAGGAAUAUUGGUCAAUGGACGAGAGUCUGAACCAGCCAAGUAGCGUGAAGGAUGACUGCCCUAUGGGUUGUAAACUUCUUUUAUAAAGGAAUAAAACGAGGCACGUGUGCCUGUUUGCAUGUACUUUAUGAAUAAGGAUCGGCUAACUCCGUGCCAGCAGCCGCGGUAAUACGGAGGAUCCGAGCGUUAUCCGGAUUUAUUGGGUUUAAAGGGAGCGUAGAUGGGUUGUUAAGUCAGUUGUGAAAGUUUGCGGCUCAACCGUAAAAUUGCAAUUGAUACUGGCAGUCUUGAGUACAGUUGAGGUAGGCGGAAUUCGUGGUGUAGCGGUGAAAUGCUUAGAGAUCACGAAGAACCCCGAUUGCGAAGGCAGCUUACUAAACUGUGACUGACAUUGAUGCUCGAAAGUGUGGGUAUCAAACAGGAUUAGAUACCCGUGUAGUC